UUUAACUGAAGAGUUUGAUCAUGGCUCAGAUUGAACGCUGGCGGCAGGCUUAACACAUGCAAGUCGAGCGGGGGAAGGUAGCUUGCUACUGGACCUAGCGGCGGACGGGUGAGUAAUGCUUAGGAAUCUGCCUAUUAGUGGGGGACAACAUCUCGAAAGGGAUGCUAAUACCGCAUACGUCCUACGGGAGAAAGCAGGGGAUCUUCGGACCUUGCGCUAAUAGAUGAGCCUAAGUCGGAUUAGCUAGUUGGUGGGGUAAAGGCCUACCAAGGCGACGAUCUGUAGCGGGUCUGAGAGGAUGAUCCGCCACACUGGGACUGAGACACGGCCCAGACUCCUACGGGAGGCAGCAGUGGGGAAUAUUGGACAAUGGGGGGAACCCUGAUCCAGCCAUGCCGCGUGUGUGAAGAAGGCCUUAUGGUUGUAAAGCACUUUAAGCGAGGAGGAGGCUACUUUAGUUAAUACCUAGAGAUAGUGGACGUUACUCGCAGAAUAAGCACCGGCUAACUCUGUGCCAGCAGCCGCGGUAAUACAGAGGGUGCGAGCGUU
RNAcentral lists this ribosomal RNA (549 nucleotides) under Acinetobacter baumannii. Its description in RNAcentral is "bacterial SSU rRNA". It matches the Rfam family "Bacterial small subunit ribosomal RNA", at positions 1 to 542 of the family's 1533-position model. Lineage: Bacteria; Pseudomonadati; Pseudomonadota; Gammaproteobacteria; Moraxellales; Moraxellaceae. The record is from RNAcentral.